GACGAACGCUGGCGGCAUGCCUAAUACAUGCAAGUCGAGCGAACAGAUGAAGUGCUUGCACUUCUGACGUUAGCGGCGAACGGGUGAGUAACACGUAAGGAAUCUACCUAUAAGCGGGGGAUAACAUUCGGAAACGGGUGCUAAUACCGCAUAAUAUCUUCUUCCGCAUGGAAGAAGAUUGAAAGACGGCUCUGCUGUCACUUAUAGAUGACCUUGCGGUGCAUUAGUUAGUUGGUGGGGUAACGGCCUACCAAGACGAUGAUGCAUAGCCGACCUGAGAGGGUGAUCGGCCACAUUGGGACUGAGACACGGCCCAAACUCCUACGGGAGGCAGCAGUAGGGAAUCUUCCGCAAUGGGCGAAAGCCUGACGGAGCAAUGCCGCGUGAGUGAAGAAGGCCUUCGGGUCGUAAAACUCUGUUAUAAGGGAAGAACAAAUUGUAGAGUAACUGCUACAGUCUUGACGGUAUCUUAUCAGAAAGCCACGGCUAACUACGUGCCAGCAGCCGCCGUAA
Molecule: ribosomal RNA, 513 nt
Filed under: uncultured bacterium
Lineage: Bacteria
Description: partial 16S ribosomal RNA
Rfam family: Bacterial small subunit ribosomal RNA
Source: RNAcentral